AUGGGGCCAAGCCGGCGGAUCUGGCCCGGUCUGUAAACACAGCAUGAAAAACAGUCAAAGGAAAAGCAAGACCAUAGUUCUGGUUCGGUGUGCCUGCCUGUUUCUGUUGAACUGCCUACACACCACAGGAAGCUGAGAACUGCAGCUCUGAACUGAGUCCAAACUGAAACCUCUUUGAGUCCUGCUCUUGCAUAUCAUUGGGAACCAACUAUUAAACAGCAGAUGAUGUCCUGGUUCAUAUCGAUAUGUGGCCCUGCCGAAUUUCUGCUGAUGAUUCAUUAACUUCAUUCUGUUACAUUGUCUGUAAAUUGUGUGUGAGUGAUGAAUGACACUGUACACAUACAGUCAGCAUUUGAGAUGGUAAACUGCACAGAAACUAUAAAGUAUAUUGUCUAUCACAUGAUUAUGUUGGUACUAAAGGAAAAAACCUGUCCUAAACCACAAAUCAUACAGCUUAUUUUGUACAUUUGAACACAUGAUGAAGAUUAUCUUGAAUGUUACAGAAUUGUCUUUACAUUUUUUUAUUUUCCAGGAAAAACUGCCACUAAUAUCACACUUUUUUAUCAAGAGGAAGUACAUAAAUAUAAACAAUGUUGCUCCCAAAAUAUCACCCAGUGUCUUUAUGUGAUCUGCUGUAUAAGGGUAGUAGACUUUGCAAUAAUAUAAUUUCUUUUCUCCUGCACGAGUUUCUGACCCCCCUCAAUGAACCUGAGGGUCUUUGUUAUUGAUCAACCAGAGUAAAAAUCCUACUUCAGCA
Long non-coding RNA from Monopterus albus (swamp eel), 757 nucleotides. RefSeq lists it as uncharacterized. The transcript has 2 exons. NCBI's taxonomy places the organism in Eukaryota, Metazoa, Chordata, Actinopteri, Synbranchiformes, Synbranchidae. The record is from RefSeq and is a predicted model, not a curated record.